RNAcentral lists this ribosomal RNA (429 nucleotides) under Chloroflexota bacterium. RNAcentral's name for it is "Chloroflexi bacterium partial 16S ribosomal RNA". It matches the Rfam family "Bacterial small subunit ribosomal RNA", at positions 355 to 776 of the family's 1533-position model. The record is from RNAcentral. Lineage: Bacteria; Bacillati; Chloroflexota.
UGGGGAAUAUUGCACAAUGGGCGCAAGCCUGAUGCAGCCAUGCCGCGUGUAUGAAGAAGGCCUUCGGGUUGUAAAGUACUUUCAGCGGGGAGGAAGGUGGUAAGGUUAAUAACCUUGGCAAUUGACGUUACCGACAGAAGAAGCACCGGCUAACUCCGUGCCAGCAGCCGCGGUAAUACGGAGGGUGCAAGCGUUAAUCGGAAUUACUGGGCGUAAAGCGCACGCAGGCGGUUGAUUGAGUCAGAUGUGAAAUCCCCGGGCUUAACCCGGGAAUUGCAUCUGAUACUGGUCAGCUAGAGUCUUGUAGAGGGGGGUAGAAUUCCAUGUGUAGCGGUGAAAUGCGUAGAGAUGUGGAGGAAUACCGGUGGCGAAGGCGGCCCCCUGGACGAAGACUGACGCUCAGGUGCGAAAGCGUGGGGAGCAAACAGG